AGUAGGGAAUAUUGCUCAAUGGGGGAAACCCUGAAGCAGCAACGCCGCGUGGAGGAUGACACUUUUCGGAGCGUAAACUCCUUUUGUUAGGGAAGAACAAUGACGGUACCUAACGAAUAAGCACCGGCUAACUCCGUGCCAGCAGCCGCGGUAAUACGGAGGGUGCAAGCGUUACUCGGAAUCACUGGGCGUAAAGGACGCGUAGGCGGAUUAUCAAGUCUCUUGUGAAAUCCUAUGGCUUAACCAUAGAACUGCUUGGGAAACUGAUAAUCUAGAGUGAGGGAGAGGCAGAUGGAAUUGGUGGUGUAGGGGUAAAAUCCGUAGAGAUCACCAGGAAUACCCAUUGCGAAGGCGAUCUGCUGGAACUCAACUGACGCUAAUGCGUGAAAGCGUGGGGAGCAAACAGGAUUAGAUACCCCAGUAGUCCUGUCUCUUAUACAC
RNAcentral lists this ribosomal RNA (441 nucleotides) under Klebsiella pneumoniae. RNAcentral's name for it is "bacterial SSU rRNA". It matches the Rfam family "Bacterial small subunit ribosomal RNA", at positions 353 to 810 of the family's 1533-position model. The record is from RNAcentral. Lineage: Bacteria; Pseudomonadati; Pseudomonadota; Gammaproteobacteria; Enterobacterales; Enterobacteriaceae.